RNAcentral lists this ribosomal RNA (253 nucleotides) under uncultured bacterium. RNAcentral's name for it is "partial 16S ribosomal RNA". It matches the Rfam family "Bacterial small subunit ribosomal RNA", at positions 524 to 776 of the family's 1533-position model. The record is from RNAcentral.
UACGUAGGGAGCAAGCGUUGUCCGGAAUCAUUGGGCGUAAAGCGCGCGUAGGCGGCCCUGUAAGUCCGUUGUGAAAGUCAAAGGCUCAACCUUUGAACGCCGAUGGAUACUGCCGGGCUAGAGUCCGGAAGAGGCGAGUGGAAUUCCUGGUGUAGCGGUGGAAUGCGCAGAUAUCAGGAGGAACACCAAUAGCGAAGGCAGCUCGCUGGGACGGUACUGACGCUGAGGCGCGAAAGCGUGGGGAGCGAACAGG